Molecule: ribosomal RNA, 1374 nt
Filed under: Curtobacterium citreum
Lineage: Bacteria; Bacillati; Actinomycetota; Actinomycetes; Micrococcales; Microbacteriaceae
Description: bacterial SSU rRNA
Rfam family: Bacterial small subunit ribosomal RNA
Source: RNAcentral
UGCAAGUCGAACGAUGAUGCCCAGCUUGCUGGGUGGAUUAGUGGCGAACGGGUGAGUAACACGUGAGUAACCUGCCCCUGACUCUGGGAUAAGCGUUGGAAACGACGUCUAAUACUGGAUAUGACCGCCGAUCGCAUGGUCUGGUGGUGGAAAGAUUUUUUGGUUGGGGAUGGACUCGCGGCCUAUCAGCUUGUUGGUGAGGUAAUGGCUCACCAAGGCGACGACGGGUAGCCGGCCUGAGAGGGUGACCGGCCACACUGGGACUGAGACACGGCCCAGACUCCUACGGGAGGCAGCAGUGGGGAAUAUUGCACAAUGGGCGAAAGCCUGAUGCAGCAACGCCGCGUGAGGGAUGACGGCCUUCGGGUUGUAAACCUCUUUUAGUAGGGAAGAAGCGUAAGUGACGGUACCUGCAGAAAAAGCACCGGCUAACUACGUGCCAGCAGCCGCGGUAAUACGUAGGGUGCAAGCGUUGUNCCGGAAUUAUUGGGCGUAAAGAGCUCGUAGGCGGUUUGUCGCGUCUGCUGUGAAAUCCCGAGGCUCAACCUCGGGCUUGCAGUGGGUACGGGCAGACUAGAGUGCGGUAGGGGAGAUUGGAAUUCCUGGUGUAGCGGUGGAAUGCGCAGAUAUCAGGAGGAACACCGAUGGCGAAGGCAGAUCUCUGGGCCGUAACUGACGCUGAGGAGCGAAAGCGUGGGGAGCGAACAGGAUUAGAUACCCUGGUAGUCCACGCCGUAAACGUUGGGCGCUAGAUGUAGGGACCUUUCCACGGUUUCUGUGUCGUAGCUAACGCAUUAAGCGCCCCGCCUGGGGAGUACGGCCGCAAGGCUAAAACUCAAAGGAAUUGACGGGGGCCCGCACAAGCGGCGGAGCAUGCGGAUUAAUUCGAUGCAACGCGAAGAACCUUACCAAGGCUUGACAUACACCGGAAACGGCCAGAGAUGGUUGCCCCCUUGUGGUCGGUGUACAGGUGGUGCAUGGUUGUCGUCAGCUCGUGUCGUGAGAUGUUGGGUUAAGUCCCGCAACGAGCGCAACCCUCGUUCUAUGUUGCCAGCGCGUUAUGGCGGGGACUCAUAGGAGACUGCCGGGGUCAACUCGGAGGAAGGUGGGGAUGACGUCAAAUCAUCAUGCCCCUUAUGUCUUGGGCUUCACGCAUGCUACAAUGGCCGGUACAAAGGGCUGCGAUACCGUAAGGUGGAGCGAAUCCCAAAAAGCCGGUCUCAGUUCGGAUUGAGGUCUGCAACUCGACCUCAUGAAGUCGGAGUCGCUAGUAAUCGCAGAUCAGCAACGCUGCGGUGAAUACGUUCCCGGGCCUUGUACACACCGCCCGUCAAGUCAUGAAAGUCGGUAACACCCGAAGCCGGGGCCUAACCC